Molecule: ribosomal RNA, 176 nt
Filed under: bacterium
Lineage: Bacteria
Description: partial 16S ribosomal RNA
Rfam family: Bacterial small subunit ribosomal RNA
Source: RNAcentral
CUGAGAGGAUGAUCAGUCACACUGGAACUGAGACACGAGUCCAGACUCCUACGGGAGGCAGCAGUGGGGAAUAUUGGACAAUGGGCGAAAGCCUGAUCCAGCCAUGCCCAGAGUCUAAAGAAGGUCUUCGGAUUGUAAAGCACUUUAAGUUGGGAGGAAGGGCAGUAAGUUAAUAC